Molecule: transfer RNA, 72 nt
Filed under: Heterocephalus glaber (naked mole-rat)
Lineage: Eukaryota; Metazoa; Chordata; Mammalia; Rodentia; Bathyergidae
Rfam family: tRNA
About the family: Transfer RNA (tRNA) molecules are approximately 80 nucleotides in length. Their secondary structure includes four short double-helical elements and three loops (D, anti-codon, and T loops).
Source: Rfam by way of RNAcentral
GGGGAUGUAGCUCAGUGGUACAGCACUUGCCCAGCAUCCAUGAGGUCCUGGGUUUAACCCCCAGCACCGCCC